RNAcentral lists this long non-coding RNA (9506 nucleotides) under Hordeum vulgare. RNAcentral describes it as "long non-coding RNA (HVUL_LNC017657)". Lineage: Eukaryota; Viridiplantae; Streptophyta; Magnoliopsida; Poales; Poaceae. The record is from RNAcentral.
CAGGUGCGUGGGCUGAGCCAAGAAAAUCGCCCACAGGCUCAGGUGCGUGUGAGGCACGUUGAAAUACUCGCGCCUUGGCGCCCGAGCGUAACCGUUUCAACCAACAGCUUUCGCUUCUGCGUUUCUCGCCCCCUCGCCGGAGCUCCAAGAAACCAAGAACCCACCAUCCAUCCCCACCUCCGCCGCGCAGCGCCCAUCGCCGACGACAGAUGGAGCAGUUCCAGGACGGCCACCACGUGCGGCUGCGGAGCCGCGAGCGCGGCACGUACCUGCACGCCGACGAGGACGGCCGUGGCGUCUCCCUCCGCCGGCCCCGGGCGUCGAUGAACGCCGCCUGGGCGGUGCACCUGUUCGAUGGCGCUAACAACGCCCAGUACGUGCUCCUCCACAGCGCCGCCUAUGGCCGCUACCUGGCGGCCAUGGACGCACCGGCGCCGCCAGGCCACCGCGGGCGCCGCGUCGAGCAGCGCAACUACGAGGAACGGGAGGAGGAGGCUGUCAGGUGGGAGCCCGUCAGGUUCGGCACCGGAGACUACACCCUGCUCCGCCACGUCACCGGCCGCUUCCUCCGCGCCAACGGGAAGUACCUCCCCUGGAACAACGGCGCCAGCGUCGACGACUUCGACAGCGUCAGCAGGAUGACGCACUGGGUCGUCGAGCGCAUCCCCGCCACGGAGGGCAUGCCUGAGGUGAGCACGCCAUGCCCGCUUCUUGACUCUUCCCGAUUUUGCACGAAUUUGUUUAUUUGCGCCCGAAUCCAACCGCGUGGAUGGCAGAGUGUGUUGAUUUCACUCGCUCGCCUGGGAGCAAUUCAUGGCUCUGUUCUUGGCAUCUUGCAAAAAUUGCGUUUCCUGGGAGCAGUUCUUGGUUGCCAUCUCUGUUUCUUAACGUCUUCCGUCUCUGUUCGCAACUGCAGCUCCCCCUCGCCGGAAGCCUCGACGCCCUGUUGCCGCGGCGGUGGAUCGUGUACGCCUCGGUGGACCACACCGUCUGGGCUGCGCUCGAUUUCAAGGGGAGGUCUGUGUUCCGCCUGAGGGGCGAGCUGGCCAGCCAGAUGGGCAUCAACGACGCCUCCAACCUCGUCAUGUGUGUCCAGGCGGGUACUAGCGGGCGGCCGACCCCACUCGUCGUCAACCUACCCCGCGGCAGCCGGACCCUUCACAUCGUCGUCGUCAUGGCCGGGGAGCCAGGCCCAGGUGAGAGCCCCAGCUUCAACUUGUGUAACGAAACUGUUAAGUCCCAAAAGCAGUUUACUGAAACUGCUGCUACUCUGGUUCAGUUAAGACUUGGGUCUGAAGCUAAUUAGAUUUAGCUGGGGAGCCAGGCCCAGGUGUGAACUGUUGUGUUAGAUAUGGUUGAAUGGAAGUAGUUGAAUGCUAGAAAGUGGUCUGAAGCUAAUUAGAUUUAGCUGUUGGGAGAAAAACAUUUUAUAAACACAUCCACAUAGAGAAGACACCUUGCCUUGACUUGAAAGUUAUUGGUUUUGAACUGUCCAUGAUUUAGUAGGAAACUUUGGAACUUGAAAACCCAAAUCUGGUUCAGUCAUCCUUGUUUAGCUUUACAGAGAAGACACUGAUUUCAAAUUGAUUUAGCCAAUUCUUCGAGAUUAUUUUUGAGCAAAAUUAAUUGUGUAAAUAAAACUCAGGAUUACUCUUAAGCUAGCUUCUUUCAAUACAUGUUUUUCAGGUUUUGUACUUCAGUUGAGCUCCUUAAGUAUCUAGUUAUUGACUUGUUAUAGCAAAAUUAUGAGAGUAUUUUUGAAGAUUAGUAGACGGCAAAAACACACAUUUUUAGUCUUGAUCUAGUUUUGCAUGUUGGUGGAUACUAUUUUGUCAAUGACCAUGCUUGUGCUGUAAAGUAGAGGUUAACUGGAAACUAAUGUUCAGAUUUCUUCAGAGAGACACUAAAUGAAACAGCAGGUGUUUACAAACGUGAUCUAAAGCUAGUUGGUUAUUGGGACAAGUCACAUAUUCACACUAAAACCUUGAUACAGAAAUUAUUGGUUUCAUACUACUGUCCUUGAUACAGAUAUUUAGUUUCCCAUUUGGUAUUAUUUGCCUCUAGUAUAAACUUUGGAACUUAGAAACCCUAAUCUGUCAAGUCAUGCACUUUAAGCGUUAUAGAGAAGAUACCGAUUUCUGUUUCAUUUAGCAUAUUGUAAAUGCUUUGAGUAACCUUUUGAACCAAAUUCAGGUGUUAUACUAUAGUAUUUCAUAAAAGCUAGUUUCUGUACAUUAUACUGUUGUUUUUCAGGUUUUGUGCAUAAGCUGUCUUCUUCGUUAGCUCUGCAAAACAGUGAUGUUGAAGUUAUUAAUCUUUUCCAGUGGUUUUAUUAGCUGUGACAUGGUGCCUGACUUCCUCACUUCCUGUUCUAAUUCAGAUAACCUCGCGCUGCGGUACCCGGAUGUCAGUGCAGAGUAGAAAAGGAUAAGAGCAUGGCUCCCUAGCGUUGCCCUGUCAGUCCACCUCUUCAGAAGUGUGGCCACGAUAACAUGAGAACUCAGAACUGCAUUUCUCAUUGAGAUAUAAGUCCAGGAAAACCCCAGCAACUCCGGUCAUUCUGUUAUUCAUUCAUUUUCCAAGCAGGAAGAACCUGUCUGUUUCACCCUUGUGGUUCUGAACUUAAGAACCUCUGUGAACAUUGGUUCGUAAUGUUUGAUUUCUGUCUGCAACACAAGCGCUGCCGGGUGCAUUUCCUUUAGGUGUCAGCAAUGACGUGGUGGUUCUUGCAGUUAAUUAAGCACACGACUUUAGCUGUGCCUUUUCAGGUUUGAGUCCAUCUGCAGUGGAUUCUCAGGUGGACACCAUCGCUAGACAAAUCAACAAGCACCUUACAGGCACAGCACGGCUAAGAAAAGAGCACACAAAGAUCAGUGAUUUCCUUUUUUUUUAGAAAAGGAGGAGAAAGAUCAGUGACUUCUAGCACCCCUUUCAACAGGAAUGGGGUUGCCUUACUUUUGCUUACUGAUCUCCAUGUCCCCGGCUUCCUACGCUGCAUCUUUGGUUUUGUUUUAAUGGAGGGCUAUUCAGCUUGCGUGAUGAAACUGUUAGUCACAAAAAAAAACAGUUUACUGAAACUGCUGCUACUCUGGUUCAGUUAAGACUUGGGAGUUUCUCUGAACUGCUGCAUUAGAUAUAAGUAGAAGUAGUUGAACUCUAGAAAGUGGUCUGAAGCUAAUUAGUUGUUGGAAAAAAAUAUUUUAUAAACACGUAUUCACACUCAACCUUGAUUUGAAAACUAUUGGUUUUGAACCUUGAUUUUAGAUGAACCCAGUUCUUCAAUUUAAUCUAUAUGCCAUUAGUAGUAAUCUUUGGAACUUGAAAAGCCAAAUCUGGUUCAGGCAUCCUAGUUUAGCUUUACAGAGAAAACACUGAUUUCUAAUUGUUUGGAGUAAGGUAUGAACAAAAUUCAGUAUGUAUCCCACAGCACUACGUGAAAGGUAGCUUCUUUCAAUACAUUGUUUUCAGGUUUUGUACAUCAGUUGUAUUCCUUAAUUAUCUAGUUAUUGACUUGUUAUAGCAAAAUUAUGAGUUAUUUUUUUAUGAUGAGUAAAUGGCAAGAAACACACUUUUUUAGUCUUCAACUUGUUUUGCAUGUUGGUGGAUAUUAUUUUGUGAAUGACAUGCUUGUGCUUUAGUAAGUACUCCCUCCGUUCCUAAAUAUAAGUCUUUUAAGAGAUUUCACUAGUGGACUACAUACGGAACAAAAUAAACGAAUGUACACUCUAAAGUAUGUCUAUAUACAUCCGUAUGUAGUUUCCUUGUGAAACCUCUAAAAAGACUUAUAUUUAGGAACGGAGGGAGUAGAAGUUAAAUGGAAAGUAAUGUUCAGAUUUCUNNNNNNNNNNNNNNNNNNNNNNNNNNNNNNNNNNNNNNNNNNNNNNNNNNNNNNNNNNNNNNNNNNNNNNNNNNNNNNNNNNNNNNNNNNNNNNNNNNNNNNNNNNNNNNNNNNNNNNNNNNNNNNNNNNNNNNNNNNNNNNNNNNNNNNNNNNNNNNNNNNNNNNNNNNNNNNNNNNNNNNNNNNNNNNNNNNNNNNNNNNNCGUUCCUAAAUAUAAGGUGUAUUAGUUUUUAAAAAGUCAACUGUUGUCUAUGUUUGACGAACAUUAUAGAAAAAUAUAUUAAUAUUUACAAUACCGAAUAUAUAUAAUAUAAAAAUAUAUUUUAGGGUGAAUCUAAUGAUAAUGAUUUCAUAUUCUAGACAUUGAUAUUUUUGUCAAUAAACAUGGUCAAAGUUUAAAAACUUUGACUUUUUAAAAAAAAUAAUACACCUCAUAACUAGGAACGGAUGGAGUAGUAGGUAUUUACAAAACAACACAGAACCAAUGGGCAACACAGAGCGCAUAAUUGUAGGUAAACGUUUACGGCCGGUGCGCCGCCCUGAACGCUCGGGCCGGUCGCUUCCCCACGCCGGUGCUCCAACCAUCAGGAAGGUAACACGUGUACCUUAUCCUUUCCCCAACGUCCGCGUCCAUUCUUUUUUCUUCUUCCUCGUGACUUUUUUCUGCCAGCAAACUCCAUGAAUCCAGGCAGCCUCAACUCCUGCCUCCUAUGUCGUUCGCGUGCUUGAGAAACAUUGACGUGUCGUUUGCAUGGUCACACUCGCCGCCAUGGACGGGCUCUUCAUCAUGGCCACGCCGUCGUCCUCGAUUUUUUGCUACAACCAGGCAAGGGAGGGGGGGGGGGGCGGCAACCNNNNNNNNNNNNNNNNNNNNNNNNNNNNNNNNNNNNNNNNNNNNNNNNNNNNNNNNNNNNNNNNNNNNNNNNNNNNNNNNNNNNNNNNNNNNNNNNNNNNNNNNNNNNNNNNNNNNNNNNNNNNNNNNNNNNNNNAAGGGGGGGGGGGGGGGGAGCUGCAACCAUGGGUACAAGAGCUGGAACCGUAGUUGAGCAGAGCUGCAACGACGGUCCGGUGGAGUUGCAUGGUCACCACGGUCACCAUUGAGUCUUGCUACAACCGGCCUUCAAAUUUGCUACAACCAUCCACUGAAAAAGUUGCAUCCCACGUUCGUCAGAGUUGCAAACCCGAGUUCGCCGGAUUUUUUUUGCCACAACCUGUGUGGAUUUUUGCUACAACCGGUCACUAAAAAUGCUGCAUCCACAUUCGUCAGAGUUGCACCCUGAGUUCGUCGGAUUUAUUUUAUUACAACCGGUAUCAAUUUUUGCUACAUGGCUGGAGCUAGCGUGGAGCGUGGGUGCGCGCCGCCGUGAGGGAGCCUGAGCGCGCGCAGACGGCCGAAGGAGUCGACCUUGAGGAGCAUCCCGAUGACCAGUGCGGACGGCGACGCGAAGCAGAGGCCAAGCUCGGAGGAACGAGUGCCGCGAAGCUCGCAGCUGCGAUGCGAAGGAAAAGGGGAGACGCAAGGAGGAAGACACGAUUCAGAGAGAAUAAGAUCUAAACGGUUCAGGAUGCACUAAUCGAACGAUCGCGCAACGACCGACCGAAACGAUUGAAUCGGUGCGCCGGCACAGAAUACAACCCAUAAUUAAACAUUACUCGCCUUGCCCGAAAUGGCACGGGCAACAGUUGGGGCAGACAAGUCCCUCCACAUCCAGCCACACCAAGCCUUUGCAUGCAUGUCCGCCCAGGCUAGCGGACCCGAUAAGACCAAUGGCCGGAAAAACGACACACACAAGUGCACAACCCUGAUAGGCUGGCCUCACACGAUCGAAUUUACGGUUUUAACCAUUUUUCCUAUUUUAGCCCGUUCUGACCUGUUUGUGAAAAAUAUUAGAUCUGCUAUUUUCUUUUUUCCUACCGUCACAGACCCUACCACCGCUUCUUAUGGUGGCAGGGGCCGGGUUUGCAGACAUCGACGUUUGACCCGUUGAUCCGACCCCUACCGUCACAACGAGUGACGGUAGGUAUCUAUAUAUAUAUCAUCACAACGGAUGGCGAUAGGAAAAAGGACCAGAUCCCAUUUUUUUCACAAACGUGGUUAGGUCUAAUGUUAGAAAAAAGGGCCAAAACAGUAAAAACGGCCGCCUCAUGCACCACCGACGUUGGGAGCUCCUAUUGAGCGCUGGCCGCGGCCCAUUAAAAAAUCGCUCCCCAUUGCUUUCGCUCGCCUCGCUAGGUUUUUUGGGCUGUGCUACGCUAUUGGUUCAGGAAAAAGACCUGCUCCAGUUUUUAAAAUUUUGAAUAUGCUGUAUAAAUAAAUAAAAUCAUAGAUUCAUUAAAAAGUGAAAAAAGGGUUCACAGAUCUGAACAAAGUUUAUCAAUUUUGAAAAAAGUUCAUUGGAUUUGAAAAAAAUUAGUGAUUCUGAAAAACGUUCAUCAAAUUUGGGGAAAAAUAUUUUUUAAAGUUAAUCGAAUUUGAAAAAAGUUCAUCAAAUUUGAAAAAGGUCAUUGGAAAAAGUUCAUAGAAAUUUUAAAAAGUGCAUCAAAACUUAAAAGGUUCAUAGAAAUUGAAAAGAAAUUGAUUCAAUUUAUAAAAAGUUCACUAAAUUCGAAAAAAAUUCAUCAAAAUUUUAAAAAGUUCAUGGAUUUUAAAAAGAAAUCAUCAAAAUCGACAAAAUUUCAUUGAAUUCAAAAAUUAGUUCAUGAAGUUGAAAACAAAAGUUCAUGUAUUUGCGGGCAACUCAUCAGGCAAGGAAAAAAGAAGAAGAAAACAAUAACAAAGAAAGGAAAGCAAAAAAAAAAUGAAUAAAAGGCAUAUAGGUUAAAAUGUAAGCACAACCGCGCUUGUUGACGGGAUGGUUACACCAGCCAACCUUUGACGGGGAGGUCGCAAGUUUGAAUCUUGCACCUGUGCGCUCUUUAUUUUCCGGUUUUAAUUUAUAAGGAGGAAAUCAAAAUGGACCGAGCCCAAGUAGCGGCGCCCGUUUGCAAACGGGCGCAUAAGCACCAAAUAGGGAUUGCCGGCGUUGCUGCCGCGAUGUAGGAGGGAACCGACCCAACACGAGGGCAGCAGAGUUGACAAUGGGCCCCACAAGAGAACCGGUGGUGUGAAUGCAACAACGAAUCCGGUUGGCGCGAGCGAACCAGCUCGAUAGAGGGAUCUCCACAUGCUAGCCGGCACUGCGACGACCAAUCCGCACACUCGACAUCACCCAAUGACGUUGGGCCCAAGUGCUCACCCACGGUUCACCCAUCAUGGACAGCCGAGGCCGGUCGCACAAGAGGCCCCUGCGGCACACACAGGAGACGGGGGCGGCUCACCUACCUUCCUCACAACCUUCUCUGUUGGUUCCUUCUUUCUCAUGAGACCAUCCGGCACACCCUUCAAUUAUUGUCCAUGCCUGAGUCUUACCCACUUUAUAAUCCUCCACAUUGCUAAAAGCAUCGUGCUCUUGCAUCACUACAACUGCAUCCCGAAACAACCGCCGACCUCCAUCCAUCACCUCCAAGACAAUGAGAAAUAGUGAAGCAUUACGUCCUAUGCACGGCCCACAAGCCCAUGUAGCGCCGAAAGCAGAGCACGGCGGCCUUCAAAUACAGAUACUCCGGCUUGGCGCCCAACGUAACCGUCUCAACCAACAGCUUUUCCUCCUCCUCGCCGAAGCGCCAAGAAACCAAGAACCCACCAUCCCCGCCCCUCCUCCCCCCAGCUCGGUUUCUCCAGCGUCACCGGCGAGGCGGCGACCGAUGGAGCAGUCCCCGGACGGCCACCACGUGCGGCUGCUAAGCCGCGAGCGCGGGACGUACCUGCACGCCGACGACGACGGGCUUGGCGUCUCCAUCCAGAGGCUUCGUGUGUCGAUGAACGUGGCUUGGUUGGUGCACCUGUACCAGGGCCAGUACCUUCUCCUCUAGAGCGCGGCCUAUGGUGGCUACCUAGCCGUCACGGGCGCACCGGCUCGGCGCGGCCACCGCGUCGAGCAGCGCAUCUACUAUCACCCGGAGGUGGAGCCGAUGCUUUGGCAGGCCGUCCAGUUGGAGGGACUCUUCCUCAACCACUUCAACAACGGCAACCUCCGCGCCAAUGGGAGGUACCGCCGGUGGAACAACGGCGUCAGCGUCAACCGAGCCUCAAGAAUUUUGAAGGACUGAUUAUUCCCUCGCUGAGAAACACCAUUAUGUGCGGCUCGCCUACCUUCCUCACAACCUUCUUUGUUGGUUCCUUCUUUCUCAUGAGACCAUCCGACACACCCUUCAAUUAUUGCCCAUGCCAGAGUCUUACCCAGAUUAUAAUCCUCUACAUUGCUAAAAUCAUCAUGCUCUUGCAUCACUACAACUGCAUCUCGAAACAACCGCGGGCCUCCAUCCAUCACCUAUUUCCAAUCCCCCAUACAACUAAGCUCAACAAUGAAUGAAUUUUCUCCCAUUGUCUUGAAGGUAAUUUUUCAUGUCGACGCUCACGCAAUGCUUUUCACGUUAAACAUAGCAGCAUUACUAAACGAUAUAGUGGUACGGACUCUGAUGAUCGCCAGCCACUUAACCACACUGAUCAGAUCCUCUAACUCUUGCAGAGAAAUCCAGGUCCGGCUCUUCCUCACCAUGCAGAUUGAGUCCUCAAAAUGAUCUUCCAGAGACGGUUCCGGUGCCCAAUUGCCUCCCUCCUUAUCUUCUUAGAUCCAUCUCCCUCCCCACUACUUACUGGAUACACCCCGAGAGGUACUUCCUUCUCUGACUCCUCUAGCAUUUGACUAGAACCCCCUCCCAUCGACAGAUCGCCGAUGGAAUGUGAGGAAAUUGGACUUCAGUGUGAUCGCCAAGGAUGGGUAAACCCUAGAAAACUAGGGGGAAACUGUUUAGCUUUUUAGUUUUUUUUUUGAGACAUCUGUAUAUUUUAGCUUAAAUGAGAAAGAGUGAAGUAUUACAUUCUAUGCACGGCCCACAAGCUCACAAGCCCACGUAGCGCCAAAAGCAGAGCACGGCGGCCUUCAAAUACAGAUACUCCGGCUUGGCGCCCAACGUAACCGUCUCAACCAACAGCUUUUCCUCCUCCUCGCCGGAGCGCCAAGAAACCAAGAACCCACCACACCAUCCCCGCCCCUCAUCCCCGCCGGAGUGCCUCUGAUAUCCAGCGUCACCGGAGAGGCGGCGAUCGAUGGAGCAGUUCCAGGACGGCCACCACGUGCGGCUGCGGAGCCGCGAGCGCGGGACGUACCUGCACGCUGACGACGACGGGCUUGGCGUCUCCAUCCAGAGACUUCGCGUGUCGAUGAACGUGGCUUGGUUGGUGCACCUGUACCGGGGCCAGUACCUUCUCCUACAGAGCGCCGCCUACGGUGGCUACCUCGCCGUCACGGGCGCACCGGCUCGGCGCGGCCACCGCGGCCUCCGCGUCGAGCAGCUCAGCUACUAUCACCCGGAGGUGGAGCCGAUGCUUUGGCAGGCCGUCCAGUUGGAGGGACUCUUCCUCAACCACUUCAACAGCGGCAACCUCCGCGCCAAUGGGAGGUACCGCCGGUGGAACAACGGCGUCAGCGUCGACCGCAUCGAGGACGUCAACAACAUCAGCACGAUGAUGCACUGGGUCGUGGAGGCCAUCCCCGCCAGGGAGAUCAUGCCUCGCCUUCCACGUCCGCUUCUGGUGAGUCCGCCAUGUCCGCUUCUUGAUUCUUC